GAGGAAUAUUGGACAAUGGAUGGAAAUCUGAUCCAGCCAUGCCGCGUGCAGGAGGACGGCCCUAUGGGUUGUAAACUUCUUUUGUACGGGAAUAAAGUGGGCUACGUGUAGCCUUUUGUAUGUACCGUACGAAUAAGGAUCGGCUAACUCCGUGCCAGCAGCCGCGGUAAUACGGAGGAUCCGAGCGUUAUCCGGAUUUAUUGGGUUUAAAGGGUGCGUAGGUGGAUUGAUAAGUCAGUGGUGAAAGUUUGCAGCUUAACUGUAAAAUUGCCGUUGAAACUGUCGGUCUUGAGUGCAAAUGAGGUAGGCGGAAUGCGUCGUGUAGCGGUGAAAUGCUUAGAUAUGACGCAGAACUCCGAUUGCGAAGGCAGCUUACUGGGAUGCAACUGACACUGAGGCACGAAAGCGUGGGUAUCAAAC
RNAcentral lists this ribosomal RNA (420 nucleotides) under uncultured bacterium. RNAcentral's name for it is "bacterial SSU rRNA". It matches the Rfam family "Bacterial small subunit ribosomal RNA", at positions 356 to 773 of the family's 1533-position model. The record is from RNAcentral.